Molecule: non-coding RNA, 195 nt
Filed under: Brassica napus (rape)
Lineage: Eukaryota; Viridiplantae; Streptophyta; Magnoliopsida; Brassicales; Brassicaceae
Description: rRNA LSU_rRNA_eukarya
Rfam family: Eukaryotic large subunit ribosomal RNA
Source: Rfam by way of RNAcentral
UAGUCCGACUUUGUGAAAUGACUUGAGAGGUGUAGAAUAAGUGGGAGCUCCGGUGCAAGUGAAAUACCACUACUUUUAACGUUAUUUUACUUACUCCGUGAAUCGGAGGCGGGGUAACAACCUGAAGAACCCUAGGAAACGCUACUCAACCGGUAAGGGGGAUAUGAACUCCGAAAGGAGAACUGGUGGGAUGAA